GGCCGCGGGAAUUCGAUUGGAUCGCCCUUAGAGUUUGAUCAUGGCUCAGGAUGAAUGCUGGCGGUGUGCCUUAAGCAUGCAAGUCGAACGGUAAAUUCCCUUCGGGGAAUACGAGUGGCAGACGGGUGAGUAAUACGUAGGAACUUACCUUCAAGUGGGGAAUAGCUCAUCGAAAGAUGGGGUAAUGCCGCAUAUGGUCGCAAGAUCAAAGUCGCAAGACGCUUGAAGAGAGGCCUGCGCCCUAUCAGGUAGUUGGUGAGGUAAUGGCUCACCAAGCCAAUGACGGGUAGCCGGUGUGAGAGCAUGACCGGCCACAAGGUAACUGAGACACGGUGCCUACACCUACGGGUGGCAGCAACUGGGAAUAUUGCGCAAUGGACGAAAGUCUGACGCAGCGACACCGCGUGUGGGAAGAAGCUUUUCGGAGUGUAAACCACUGUGGCAGGGGAACAAAUUUUGAGCGUACCCUGCUAGAAAGCACCUGCUAACUACGUGCCAGAAGCCUCGGUAAUACGUAGGGUGCAAGCAUUAUCCGGAUUUACUGGGCGUAAAGCGUUCCGUCGGCGGUUUAUCAAGUUUCAUCUUUAAUACUGGGGCUCAACCCCAGAUACAGGAUGGAAAACUAGUAGACUAGAGUUUACUAUGGGGAGCUGGAAUUCUCGGUGGAGGGGUGAAAUCCGUAGAUAUCGAGAGGAACACCAUUCGCGAAGGCGAGCUCCUAGGGUAACACUGACGCUCAGGGACGAAAGCUUGGGUAGCAAAAGGG
RNAcentral lists this ribosomal RNA (766 nucleotides) under uncultured bacterium. RNAcentral describes it as "partial 16S ribosomal RNA". It matches the Rfam family "Bacterial small subunit ribosomal RNA", at positions 1 to 776 of the family's 1533-position model. The record is from RNAcentral.